CCGGUUUACGAUGUUAAUUCAGUUCACAAACAAUGAGAAGUAGAUGAGUUGUGUUAACUCUUACAUGCCUUGGAAAAGAUAAGUCUGCAGUUGGAGAGUGGCCGUGCGCAACCCGAGGGUCCCUGGUUCAAUCCCCACCUAGUACCAACCUCGUCACGUCCGUUGUGUCCUUGAGCAAGACACUUCGCCCUUGCUCCUGAUGGUGCUGGUUGGCGCCUUGCAUGGCAGCUCCCUCCAUCAGUGUGUGAAUGUGUGUGUGAAUGGGUAAAUGUGGAAGUAGUGUCAAAGCGCUUUGAGUACCUUGAAGGUAGAAAAGCGCUAUACAAGUACAACCCAUUUAUUUUUUAUUUAUAACCUUGAUGGAGGUACCGAACCCCGCCAGUUUGAUAUGUGCAUUCACCGAACCCUUCUUUAGUAAAAAAAAAAAAAAAAUGUUUUUUUUCUUAAUUCAAUCUUGAUUUAUGAAUAUUGAUCAUGAAAUGAUGUUACUAUAUUAAAGACAUACUAAUAAAGGUAUAUUUAACGAACAGAAAGUUA
Long non-coding RNA from Nerophis ophidion (straightnose pipefish), 537 nucleotides. RefSeq lists it as uncharacterized. The transcript has 2 exons. Lineage: Eukaryota; Metazoa; Chordata; Actinopteri; Syngnathiformes; Syngnathidae. The record is from RefSeq and is a predicted model, not a curated record.